GACGAACGCUGGCGGCGUGCCUAAUACAUGCAAGUCGAACGAAGCUGUUUUAACUGGUGCUUGCACCGACUUAAACAACUGAGUGGCGAACGGGUGAGUAACACGUGGGUAACCUGCCCCAAAGCGGGGGAUAACAUUUGGAAACAGAUGCUAAUACCGCAUAACCACAGAAACCACAUGGUUUCUGUGUCAAAGAUGGUUUCGGCUAUCACUUUGGGAUGGACCCGCGGCGUAUUAGCUAGUUGGUAAGGUAAUGGCUUACCAAGGCAAUGAUACGUAGACGAACUGAGAGGUUGAUCGGCCACAUUGGGACUGAGACACGGCCCAAACUCCUACGGGAGGCAGCAGUAGGGAAUCUUCCACAAUGGACGAAAGUCUGAUGGAGCAACGCCGCGUGAGUGAAGAAGGGUUUCGGCUCGUAAAACUCUGUUGUUAAAGAAGAACGUAUCUAAGAGUAACUGCUUAGGUAGUGACGGUAUUUAACCAGAAAGCCACGGCUAACUACGUGCCAGCAGCCGCCGUAA
This 524-nucleotide ribosomal RNA is filed under the name uncultured bacterium. RNAcentral's name for it is "partial 16S ribosomal RNA". It matches the Rfam family "Bacterial small subunit ribosomal RNA", at positions 28 to 523 of the family's 1533-position model. The record is from RNAcentral.